RNAcentral lists this ribosomal RNA (497 nucleotides) under uncultured bacterium. RNAcentral describes it as "partial 16S ribosomal RNA". It matches the Rfam family "Bacterial small subunit ribosomal RNA", at positions 28 to 507 of the family's 1533-position model. The record is from RNAcentral.
GAUGAACGCUGGCGGCGUGCCUAAUACAUGCAAGUCGAGCGAACGGACGAGAAGCUUGCUUCUCUGAUGUUAGCGGCGGACGGGUGAGUAACACGUGGAUAACCUACCUAUAAGACUGGGAUAACUUCGGGAAACCGGAGCUAAUACCGGAUGAUAUUUUGAACCGCAUGGUUCAAAAGUGAAAGACGGUCUUGCUGUCACUUAUAGAUGGAUCCGCGCUGCAUUAGCUAGUUGGUAAGGUAACGGCUUACCAAGGCAACUAUGCAUAGCCGACCUGGGAGGGUGAUCGGCCACACUGGAACUGAGACACGGUCCAGACUCCUACGGGAGGCAGCAGUAGGGAAUCUUCCGCAAUGGGCGAAAGCCUGACGGAGCAACGCCGCGUGAGUGAUGAAGGUCUUCGGAUCGUAAAACUCUGUUAUUAGGGAAGAACAUAUGUGUAAGUAACUGUGCACAUCUUGACGGUACCUAAUCAGAAAGCCACGGCUAACUACGUG